This 449-nucleotide ribosomal RNA is filed under the name uncultured Rhodocyclaceae bacterium. RNAcentral describes it as "bacterial SSU rRNA". It matches the Rfam family "Bacterial small subunit ribosomal RNA", at positions 933 to 1382 of the family's 1533-position model. Lineage: Bacteria; Pseudomonadati; Pseudomonadota; Betaproteobacteria; Rhodocyclales; Rhodocyclaceae. The record is from RNAcentral.
UGGAUGAUGUGGAUUAAUUCGAUGCAACGCGAAAACCUUACCUACCCUUGACAUGUCCGGAAUCCCGAAGAGAUUUGGGAGUGCUCGCAAGAGAACCGGAACACAGGUGCUGCAUGGCUGUCGUCAGCUCGUGUCGUGAGAUGUUGGGUUAAGUCCCGCAACGAGCGCAACCCGUGUCAUUAGUUGCCAUCAUUUGGUUGGGCACUCUAAUGAGACUGCCGGUGACAAACCGGAGGAAGGUGGGGAUGACGUCAAGUCCUCAUGGCCCUUAUGGGUAGGGCUUCACACGUCAUACAAUGGUCGGUACAGAGGGUUGCCAACCCGCGAGGGGGAGCUAAUCCCACAAAGCCGAUCGUAGUCCGGAUCGCAGUCUGCAACUCGACUGCGUGAAGUCGGAAUCGCUAGUAAUCGUGGAUCAGCAUGUCACGGUGAAUACGUUCCCGGGUCUU